This 393-nucleotide ribosomal RNA is filed under the name uncultured bacterium. RNAcentral's name for it is "partial 16S ribosomal RNA". It matches the Rfam family "Bacterial small subunit ribosomal RNA", at positions 523 to 918 of the family's 1533-position model. The record is from RNAcentral.
AUACGUAGGUGACAAGCGUUAUCCGGAUUUAUUGGGUUUAAAGGGUGCGUAGGCGGUUUGCUAAGCGGGAGGUGAAAUGCCGGCGCUCAACGUCGGAAGUGCCUCCCGAACUGGUGGACUGGAAUGACUCUGCCGUGGGAGGAAUGUGUAGUGUAGCGGUGAAAUGCUUAGAGAUUACACAGAACACCGAUUGCGAAGGCAUCUCACGAAGGGUUGAUUGACGCUGAGGCACGAAAGCGUGGGGAUCAAACAGGAUUAGAUACCCUGGUAGUCCACGCAGUAAACGAUGAUGGCUAACCGCUGGUUUAUUCGGAUCAGUGGCCAAGCGAAAGCGAUAAGCCAUCCGCCUGGGGAGUACGACCGCAAGGUUGAAACUUAAAGGAAUUGACGGGG